This 22-nucleotide microRNA is filed under the name Salmo salar (Atlantic salmon). Its description in RNAcentral is "ssa-miR-7a-1-3p". Its record names the gene ssa-miR-7a-1-3p. The record is from miRBase by way of RNAcentral. Lineage: Eukaryota; Metazoa; Chordata; Actinopteri; Salmoniformes; Salmonidae.
CAACAAGUCAUGGUCUACCUCA